RNAcentral lists this ribosomal RNA (557 nucleotides) under Novosphingobium sp. HRRP047. Its description in RNAcentral is "bacterial SSU rRNA". It matches the Rfam family "Bacterial small subunit ribosomal RNA", at positions 102 to 694 of the family's 1533-position model. Lineage: Bacteria; Pseudomonadati; Pseudomonadota; Alphaproteobacteria; Sphingomonadales; Sphingomonadaceae. RNAcentral also lists the same sequence under 10 other names. The record is from RNAcentral.
ACGGGUGCGUAACGCGUGGGAAUCUGCCCUUGGGUUCGGAAUAACAGUGAGAAAUUACUGCUAAUACCGGAUGAUGUCUUCGGACCAAAGAUUUAUCGCCCAGGGAUGAGCCCGCGUAGGAUUAGCUAGUUGGUGGGGUAAUGGCCUACCAAGGCGACAAUCCUUAGCUGGUCUGAGAGGAUGAUCAGCCACACUGGGACUGAGACACGGCCCAGACUCCUACGGGAGGCAGCAGUGGGGAAUAUUGGACAAUGGGCGAAAGCCUGAUCCAGCAAUGCCGCGUGAGUGAUGAAGGCCUUAGGGUUGUAAAGCUCUUUUACCCGGGAUGAUAAUGACAGUACCGGGAGAAUAAGCUCCGGCUAACUCCGUGCCAGCAGCCGCGGUAAUACGGAGGGAGCUAGCGUUGUUCGGAAUUACUGGGCGUAAAGCGCGCGUAGGCGGCUGCUCAAGUCAGAGGUGAAAGCCCGGGGCUCAACCCCGGAACUGCCUUUGAAACUAGGUAGCUAGAAUCUUGGAGAGGUCAGUGGAAUUCCGAGUGUAGAGGUGAAAUUCGUAGA